RNAcentral lists this ribosomal RNA (273 nucleotides) under uncultured bacterium. RNAcentral's name for it is "partial 16S ribosomal RNA". It matches the Rfam family "Bacterial small subunit ribosomal RNA", at positions 30 to 303 of the family's 1533-position model. The record is from RNAcentral.
AUUGAACGCUGGCGGCAUGCCUUACACAUGCAAGUCGAACGGCAGCACGGGAGCAAUCCUGGUGGCGAGUGGCGAACGGGUGAGUAAUAUAUCGGAACGUGCCCAGUCGGGGGGAUAACGUAGCGAAAGCUACGCUAAUACCGCAUACGAUCUAUGGAUGAAAGCGGGGGAUCGCAAGACCUCGCGCGAUUGGAGCGGCCGAUAUCAGAUUAGGUAGUUGGUGAGGUAAAGGCUCACCAAGCCGACGAUCUGUAGCUGGUCUGAAGAGGACGA